This 451-nucleotide ribosomal RNA is filed under the name uncultured bacterium. RNAcentral's name for it is "partial 16S ribosomal RNA". It matches the Rfam family "Bacterial small subunit ribosomal RNA", at positions 354 to 796 of the family's 1533-position model. The record is from RNAcentral.
GUGGGGAAUAUUGGACAAUGGGGGGAACCCUGAUCCAGCCAUGCCGCGUGUGUGAAGAAGGCCUUUUGGUUGUAAAGCACUUUAAGCGAGGAGGAGGCUACCGAGAUUAAUACUCUUGGAUAGUGGACGUUACUCGCAGAAUAAGCACCGGCUAACUCUGUGCCAGCAGCCGCGGUAAUACAGAGGGUGCAAGCGUUAAUCGGAUUUACUGGGCGUAAAGCGCGCGUAGGUGGCCAAUUAAGUCAAAUGUGAAAUCCCCGAGCUUAACUUGGGAAUUGCAUUCGAUACUGGUUGGCUAGAGUAUGGGAGAGGAUGGUAGAAUUCUAGGUGUAGCGGUGAAAUGCGUAGAGAUCUGGAGGAAUACCGAUGGCGAAGGCAGCCAUCUGGCCUAAUACUGACACUGAGGUGCGAAAGCAUGGGGAGCAAACAGGAUUAGAAACCCGUGUAGUCC